RNAcentral lists this long non-coding RNA (516 nucleotides) under Selaginella moellendorffii. Its description in RNAcentral is "long non-coding RNA (SMOE_LNC001245)". The record is from RNAcentral. Lineage: Eukaryota; Viridiplantae; Streptophyta; Lycopodiopsida; Selaginellales; Selaginellaceae.
GGUACUUCUAGUCUUAAAUUCUCGAGCAAUUUGACAACAUAAUCCAGGCAGCAGGCGAGGGCGCCCGCCAAAGGAGAACCCGACGCGAAUCAUAAGAAAACAGGAGGCAAGAGAGAGCUAGAAGAAUCAAAGCUUUUACUCGAGAGAAGACAAGAGAAGAGCGCUCAAAACGUUGUAUUGUAAGUGGAUGUUUCCCUUUUUUUGGAUUUUACUUGAAUCACUAUAAUACCUGAAGUACAUAGAAUUGCUGAAUAGAUUCUACGAGAUUCUACUUACUAGUUCCAAAACAGUGCUAAGAUCGUGGCCAGCUCAAUCCUUGGCUGUAAAAAAACAAACAAGUUCAAUACAAACAAAUUGUACGUAUUAUUUGCGGAAGUUAUGGAAAACCCAGGAAUAUGUGUAUUUACAAACAUUCAUAUGCAUGGCUAUUUCUCAUAGAGAGUAUUUAGCAGCCUCCACCGCCGCCACCUCCUCCGCAGCCACCACCACCACCGCCGCCGCCACCGCCACCACAGC